AGCCGCCGCGGUAAUACGUAGGUCCCGAGCGUUGUCCGGAUUUAUUGGGCGUAAAGCGAGCGCAGGCGGUUAGAUAAGUCUGAAGUUAAAGGCUGUGGCUUAACCAUAGUACGCUUUGGAAACUGUUUAACUUGAGUGCAAGAGGGGAGAGUGGAAUUCCAUGUGUGGCGGUGAAAUGCGUAGAUAUAUGGAGGAACACCGGUGGCGAAAGCGGCUCUCUGGCUUGUAACUGACGCUGAGGCUCGAAAGCGUGGGGAGCAAACAGGAUUAGAUACCCCAGUAGUCCCUGUCUCUUAUACAC
Molecule: ribosomal RNA, 301 nt
Filed under: uncultured bacterium
Lineage: Bacteria
Description: partial 16S ribosomal RNA
Rfam family: Bacterial small subunit ribosomal RNA
Source: RNAcentral